Molecule: ribosomal RNA, 301 nt
Filed under: uncultured bacterium
Lineage: Bacteria
Description: partial 16S ribosomal RNA
Rfam family: Bacterial small subunit ribosomal RNA
Source: RNAcentral
CAGCAGCCGCGGGAAUACGUAGGGUGCGAGCGUUAAUCGGAAUUACUGGGCGUAAAGCGUGCGCAGGCGGUUGUGUAAGACAGGUGUGAAAUCCCCGGGCUUAACCUGGGAACUGCGCUUGUGACUGCACAGCUAGAGUAUGGCAGAGGGGGGUGGAAUUCCACGUGUAGCAGUGAAAUGCGUAGAGAUGUGGAGGAACACCGAUGGCGAAGGCAGCCCCCUGGGCCAAUACUGACGCUCAUGCACGAAAGCGUGGGGAGCAAACAGGAUUAGAUACCCCCGUAGUCCCUGUCUCUUAUAA